This 323-nucleotide ribosomal RNA is filed under the name Listeria monocytogenes. Its description in RNAcentral is "bacterial LSU rRNA". It matches the Rfam family "Bacterial large subunit ribosomal RNA", at positions 361 to 688 of the family's 2925-position model. Lineage: Bacteria; Bacillati; Bacillota; Bacilli; Caryophanales; Listeriaceae. The record is from RNAcentral.
CGGUAUCAGCCCGGGAGUUGAAAUGGCUUUCCCUCCAGAGUGGAUCCUGAGUACGGCGGAGCACGUGAAAUUCCGUCGGAAUCCGGGAGGACCAUCUCCCAAGGCUAAAUACUCCCUAGUGACAGAUAGUGAACCAGUACCGUGAGGGAAAGGUGAAAAGCACCCCGGAAGGGGAGUGAAACAGUUCCUGAAACAGUGUGCCUACAAGUAGAUAGAGCCCGUUAAUGGGUGAUAGCGUGCCUUUUGUAGAAUGAACCGGCGAGUUACGAUUUGUUGCAAGGCUACGCGGAAAAAGCGGAGCCGUAGCGAAAGCGAGUCUGAAU